Molecule: long non-coding RNA, 2348 nt
Organism: Metopolophium dirhodum (rose-grain aphid)
Lineage: Eukaryota; Metazoa; Arthropoda; Insecta; Hemiptera; Aphididae
Exons: 2
Source: RefSeq, a predicted model, not a curated record
CAUAAGUAGGCUUCUGCGGUAGCGGCGGCGAAUGAAGAGGUUGUGUUCGUACUUUGCCGCCAUAUUUAACAGCAUUACAGCUGCACUAUCUGUGCGCGCCGCACACAGACACACAGUGGUCGUGUUGUACACGGUCGGUCGCUGAGCGUUACGUCAGCGCCGGUCGCAGUGCCGCCUCGCCGGAAGAACCAAAUUGUCUCACGACGCGGCGGCGUUCUCCCUAACGACGUACCCCACUUCGGGGAAAUUCGCGGACGGCUUGUCGCUACACGAUUUUGACCCACACCUCCUACCACAACAUCACCACCAACGUCAUUGUUGGCGGACGAAAACGCGGCCGGUUCGUCGUCGUCGUCCGCCGGUAACCAGUGCCGGCAACUGGACGCGCCGAUUUCGCCUACACUGUAAAAAGUGGUGAUACGAACAUUUUUUUUAACCUUUCAUUAUUUACGUGAACUUUUUCGCUUUACGUAUAUUUUUUCCUGAAAAUAAAAUGGUGUAUCUCGUUAGGCGUUAGUGAAUCGUGUUUUGAUUAUUAUUAUUAUUUUUUUUGUUUUCGUUUGCUUGUUCUUUAAGUAUCUAAAUCGCACUUUUCCGCCGAGUCUUGCCGGCGUUCGGUGAAUCGCCUACGUUUCAAUUUGGUUUUUCCGAAACGGAUAAAACGAUACGCCCGUCCAUUGUUUGUGCAACCGCUCCAAGACGAGUCGUCUGUUUCGUCAACAAACGCUUAACAGUCUGACGGAUAAUAUUUGUUUUUGCACUGAACAACGCCUGGAGAAUAAAGAAAUGCCAUACAAGUGAUUGGCUUUUAUCAAUGUUGUGUUCCAUUAGGUACCUACGUUCAGUUUGUUUAGUAGAGUAUAGUAUGUUUUAUCCAUUUUGUGUUUAUUGUCUGUUGUAUUGAAGAAAUAAAAUGUCACUAUUUGUAUUAAAUAAAUACCUACAUCGUUUAGUUUGCAGACAACCAUGUUUUGAAAAACCAUUUGUUUUCAGAAAAUGUACGGUUAUUGGUCAUUGAAGAACAAAUAUUGCAAUGUUAUUCUGAACAUUUAUUUCAAUCGGAUUUUUACAAAUUGGAUAUUACAUACUAUAUUAGUCAGUGCAAUUAAUAAUAAUAAUAAUAAUAAUGUUUAAAACAAAAUAUUAUAACAUACUGAAGGGAAACAAAUGUUUCAGAGUAAAUGCCCUACUAUUCGCUCAAACUUCUGUGUGCGCUAAGACAGAGUACUAUAUGGCUACUUAUUAUAGGCUACUUCCUACUGGUGGAGGCAUUUAUUAAAGGUAAUUGGUAUAUUUUCUUUUUACUUUAUUAGUAUUCUGAAUUAUAUUUUAUUAAUCAAACAUUUGAAAGAAUUUGAACUUUAUGUUUAUUUUUUUUUUAUAGAAAGUUAUUUUCUAUAAUCAAUUAAGUAUACAUUUACUCUUUAGAUUCUGCUAAACCUUUCAAAUUAGACUCUGUCUGUGUUAUUAACAUAUUGGCCUGUAGUAGGUGUAUUUAAUCUUAUUAAUAUUAGUUUAAAUAUCAAUUACUUAUAAACAUUAUACAUAGUUGCCUAUAAAUUUAACAAAAAUUAUUAACUCUUCAAAAUGUUUAAUAUAGAAAUAGUUCUUUUUCUAUAGUUUUUUUUAGGUUAUAUAUCUAUUUCAAGUAUAAAAUGUUAAAUAUAUUGAAUAUAUUCUGGUUACUUCUCUUACUAUAGAAAAGUAAUCCUGUGUUCCUCAAUUUAACAGAUUAUACCUAAACCGGACGAAGAAAGUUAAUAACCAAAUUCAGAAUUGGAAAUUAUCUAUAUAAAUUUUACAGGUAAAUUCAACAUUAUCUAUGUUUUAAUAUAAUAAUGUUAUAGUAAACUCUUUAUUUUUAAAAGUAUGAGGCUAUGGUAUUAAGAUAUUAUUUAUAAAUUACAUUCUAUAUUUUCGUAUUAUUUUAUGUGUUUAAAAUGUGGUCUUGACUGAAAUUUCAACAUAAAUUUAUUUAUAUUUAUUUUUAUUUUGGUAUUUAUAUAAUUAGUUAUUAUUCUUGUAUAAAUUAUUCAAUUUAAAAAUAAUAUACCUAUUUAUUUUAUCAUUAUUAUAACUAGUUAAAUAAUAUAAGACAUUAUUCCUAUAUCUAUGUGUUAGUACUUAGUUAUUUCUAAAAUAUCUUAAGAAAAAUAUUAAUACAAAUCAAGCAAUAAAUAAUUAACACUGGUAUAUUUUUGUUUUAGCUGAAUGUUUAAAAAUGUAAAUACUUAUUCUUAAUAAGUAAUUUAAGAAUUAAAAUGGGUUAUUAAAUAACAAUUGUUUUUAUUUUUUUUAUAUAAAAUCAUAUUAUUGAACUGGUUACAAUAAAAAAUGCUGAUAUUGAA